Molecule: non-coding RNA, 27 nt
Filed under: Mus musculus (house mouse)
Lineage: Eukaryota; Metazoa; Chordata; Mammalia; Rodentia; Muridae
Source: RNAcentral
UAAUACUAGUUACUAAGGAUUCAUAUC